UGACUUUCUGCUGUCUACACUUACACAACCU
This 31-nucleotide non-coding RNA is filed under the name Mus musculus (house mouse). The record is from RNAcentral. Lineage: Eukaryota; Metazoa; Chordata; Mammalia; Rodentia; Muridae.